Molecule: ribosomal RNA, 229 nt
Filed under: uncultured bacterium
Lineage: Bacteria
Description: partial 16S ribosomal RNA
Rfam family: Bacterial small subunit ribosomal RNA
Source: RNAcentral
UGAGCAAUCUGCCCUUCUCAUCGGAAUAAGCGUUGGAAACGACGUCUAAUGCCGAAUACGACCUCCUUUCNCAUGAUCGGAGGUGGAAAGCUCCGGCGGAGAAGGAUGAGCUCGCGGCCUAUCAGCUAGUUGGUGUGGGUAAUGGCCCACCAAGGCGACGACGGGUAGCCGGCCUGAGAGGGUGAUCGGCCACAUUGGAACUGAGACACGGUCCAGACUCCUAGGGAGG